UACAGAGGUCUCAAGCGUUGUUCGGAUUCAUUGGGCGUAAAGGGCGUGUAGGCGGCGCCGUAAGUCGGGUGUGAAAUUUCGGAGCUUAACUCCGAAACUGCAUUCGAUACUGCGGUGCUUGAGGACUGGAGAGGAGACUGGAAUUUACGGUGUAGCAGUGAAAUGCGUAGAUAUCGUAAGGAAGACCAGUGGCGAAGGCGGGUCUCUGGACAGUUCCUGACGCUGAGACACGAAGGCCAGGGGAGCAAACGGG
RNAcentral lists this ribosomal RNA (253 nucleotides) under uncultured bacterium. Its description in RNAcentral is "partial 16S ribosomal RNA". It matches the Rfam family "Bacterial small subunit ribosomal RNA", at positions 524 to 776 of the family's 1533-position model. The record is from RNAcentral.